CCCUGCCAUUUGUACACACCGCCCGUCGCACCUACCGAUUGGAUGGUCCGGUGAAGCCCUCGGACCGCGGCCAGUAACCUUCGGGUUCUGGCCACGGGAAGUUGGCUAAACCUUACCAUCUAGAGGAAGGUGAAGUCGUAACAAGGUUUC
Molecule: ribosomal RNA, 150 nt
Filed under: uncultured eukaryote
Lineage: Eukaryota
Description: partial small subunit ribosomal RNA
Rfam family: Eukaryotic small subunit ribosomal RNA
Source: RNAcentral